GUAGGUGGCAAGCGUUGUCCGGAAUUGUUGGGGCGUAAAGCGCGCGCAGGUGGUUCUUUAAGUCUGAUGUGAAAGCCCCCCGGGCUCAACCGGGGGAGGGUCAUUGGAAACUGGGGAACUUGAGUGCAGGAGAGGAAAGUGGAAUUCCACGUGUAGCGGUGAAAUGCGUAGAUAUGUGGAGGAACACCAGUGGCGAAGGCGACUUUCUGGCCUGUAACUGACACUGAGGCGCGAAAGCGUGGGGAGCAAACAGGAUUAGAUACCCUGGUAGUCCACGCCGUAAACGAUGAGUGCUAAGUGUUGGGGGGGUUUCCGCCCCUCAGUGCUGCAGCUAACGCAUUAAGCACUCCGCCUGGGGAGUACGGUCGCAAAGACUGA
RNAcentral lists this ribosomal RNA (378 nucleotides) under uncultured organism. RNAcentral's name for it is "partial 16S ribosomal RNA". It matches the Rfam family "Bacterial small subunit ribosomal RNA", at positions 527 to 897 of the family's 1533-position model. The record is from RNAcentral.